GACGAACGCUGGCGGCGUGCUUAACACAUGCAAGUCGAACGGAAAGGCCCUGCUUUUGUGGGGUGCUCGAGUGGCGAACGGGUGAGUAACACGUGAGUAACCUGCCCUUGACUUUGGGAUAACUUCAGGAAACUGGGGCUAAUACCGGAUAGGAGCUCCUGCUGCAUGGUGGGGGUUGGAAAGUUUCGGCGGUUGGGGAGGGACUCGCGGCUUAUCAGCUUGUUGGUGGGGUAGUGGCUUACCAAGGCUUUGACGGGUAGCCGGCCUGGGAGGGUGACCGGCCAAGUAGGCUCGGGCAGGAGGCCGACCCGAACUCGGGGGGAAGGCGGCGGGAAUGUGUAAAAAAGGAGGGGCGCCAGACGAAGCCAGCCCGGCCGCGGGAGUGGGGCGUUCGUUUGGAAAGCGGGUUUCGUUUGUGAGGAACGAUGAUGACGGUACAGGGAAAAAAAGGCACGGCUAACUUCGUG
This 467-nucleotide ribosomal RNA is filed under the name uncultured bacterium. Its description in RNAcentral is "partial 16S ribosomal RNA". It matches the Rfam family "Bacterial small subunit ribosomal RNA", at positions 28 to 507 of the family's 1533-position model. The record is from RNAcentral.